Chytridium lagenaria is the source of this 72-nucleotide non-coding RNA. The record is from the annotation of a GenBank genome assembly. Lineage: Eukaryota; Fungi; Chytridiomycota; Chytridiomycetes; Chytridiales; Chytridiaceae.
GCUUCGAUAGUGUAGUGGUUAUCACGUUUCCUUCACACGGAAGAGGCCCCAGUUCGAUCCUGGGUCGAAGCA